This 415-nucleotide long non-coding RNA is filed under the name Sander lucioperca (pikeperch). Its description in RNAcentral is "lncRNA (ENSSLUG00000006856.1)". The record is from RNAcentral. Lineage: Eukaryota; Metazoa; Chordata; Actinopteri; Perciformes; Percidae.
CAGGAACAGAACAGUAAAAGCCUUCCCCAUUUUGACUUCUCCAAUUCUCUGAUGUCCAUACCAACUCCUGGUUUUGACAUCUGUCCAUCCCUUAUCAUUCCUUUCCCUCCUUUCCUUCCCUCCUUUCCUUCCACCCACAUUUUUUAUUUCACUAUAGAGUUUGCAAACAGUGUCAGGUCUCCGCUGGCAACCAGCAACCCUAAGUUACGCUGGGAGUUCUUCGUUCCGCCAGAAGAGACGGAGAAGGAUUGCCGUGGAAACGAGAAGUACCAGCGCGAGCAGGAGAAGCUGAAGGAGGAGUGGGAGAAAGCACAGAGGGAGGUGGCGGAGGAGGAGAGGAAGUACCACGAGGAGGUGUGUGCAUGUUUAUGCUUGAGGGCACAUGUUGCACCCGUGAUGUGUUUUUUUGGUGUAA